GGCUUUCAGCUGGCUGUAGAGGCUUUCAGCUGGCCGUAGAGGCUUUCAGCUGGCCGUAGAGGCUUUCAGCUGGCCGUAGAGGCUUUCAGCUGGCCGUAGUGGCUUUCGGCUGGCUGUAGAGGCUUUCAGCUGGCUGUAGAGGCUUUCAGCUGGCCGUAGAGGCUUUCAGCUGGCCGUAGAGGCUUUCAGCUGGCCGUAGAGGCUUUCAGCUGGCCGUAGAGGCUUUCAGCUGGCCGUAGAGGCUUUCAGCUGGCCGUAGAGGCUUUCAGCUGGCCGUAGAGGCUUUCAGCUGGCCAUAGUGGCUUUCAGCUGGCUGUAGAGGCUUUCAGCUGGCUGUAGAGGCUUUCAGCUGGCCGUAGUGGCUUUCAGCUGGCUGUAGAGGCUUUCAGCUGGCCGUAGAGGCUUUCAGCUGGCCAUAGAGGCUUUCAGCUGGCUGUUAGAGGCUUUCAGCUGGCUGUAGAGGCUUUCGGCUGGCCGUAGAGGCUUUCAGCUGGCCGUAGAGGCUUUCAGCUGGCCGUAGAGGCUUUCAGCUGGCCGUAGAGGCUUUCAGCUGGCCGUAGAGGCUUUCAGCUGGCCGUAGAGGCUUUCGGCUGGCUUUCAGCUGGCCGUAGAGGCUUUCAGCUGGCCGUAGAGGCUUUCAGCUGGCCGUAGAGGCUUUCAGCUGGCCGUAGAGGCUUUCAGCUGGCCAUAGAGGCUUUCAGCUGGCCGUAGAGGCUUUCAGCUGGCUGUAGAGGCUUUCAGCUGCUGUUAGAGGCUUUCCUGCUAAGAUGUGUGUGUGACACCUGCUCUUGAUAAUAUGGAUGAUGCAAGAGAAACAAAACCCACACAUGCCAACUUGCCUUUGGCUUGACAGACUCAAAAGAGGCACUUGAAGACUGUAUGUUUUGAUUGGCUGGUUUUCAGACCUUUAAUGAUACAAAAAAAAUUGAUUGUGCACUUAAUUGAAAGUAUUCUUUUGAACAGGUUUCCAUGUUGGGAAAGUUCUACAUCAGU
RNAcentral lists this long non-coding RNA (993 nucleotides) under Salmo salar (Atlantic salmon). Its description in RNAcentral is "lncRNA (ENSSSAG00000084165.1)". Lineage: Eukaryota; Metazoa; Chordata; Actinopteri; Salmoniformes; Salmonidae. The record is from RNAcentral.